CCAAGAGUGGAGGAGGAGAUUAAGGGUCAAAAUAGGGGGCUAUUGUUGGAAGAAGCAAAUCUUCAUUCUACAGUCAAUAUGACUCUUUUAAAAUCUCAAUUUAUUUGUGGCUCAAAACAUCAACUUUCUUCACAAGUUGCUGUUUGUUGUUGUUUAGUCUCCAAAUAGUAUCCAACUCAUUGAGACCCCAUGGUCUGUAGCCUGCCAGGCUCCUCUGUCCAUGGGAUUUCCUAGGCAAGACUACUGGAGUGAGUUGCCAUUUCCUUCUCCAGGGCAUCUUCCCAACCCAGAGGUCAACCUGCAUCUCUUGCAUCUCCUGUAUCAGCAUUGGCAAACAGGUUCCUUACCACCAUCACCACCUGGGAAGCCCAGGAAAGCCAGAUAUUCAUUACCACUAGAAGUGGGUCACAGAGAGUUGGACUGUGAAGAAAGCUGAGAGCCAAAGAACUGAUGCUUUUGAACUGUGGUGUUAGAGAAGACUCUUGAGAGUCCCUUGGACUGCAAGGAGAUCUAAUCAGUCCAUCCUAAAGGAGAUCAGUCCUGGGUGUUCAUUGGAAGGACUGAUGCUGAAGCUGAAAUUCAAUACUUUAGCCACCUCCUGUGAAGAGUUGACUCAUUGGAAAAGACUCUGAUACUAGGAGGGAUUGGGGGCAGGAGGAAAAGGGGACGACAGAGGAUGAGAUGGCUGGAUGGCAUCACCGACUGGAUGGACAUGAGUUUGGGUGAACUCCGGGAGUUGGUGACGGACAGGGAGGCCUGGUAUGCUGUGAUUCAUGGGGUCACAGAGUUGGACACGACUGAGCAACUGAACUGAACUGAACUGUAUCAGUCUUCAGCUCAUUUGAGCAGCAAAGAUGAAUUUUGAAGUCGGUAAGUGAUUAGACUUUCCUGGUUCUGAUAACUAAUUCCUUCCAAUUCUAGAAUUUCUCUUUGGUAUCUUUUAUUUUUUUCCCUCACCUGUUCCUCCAGUCAGGUAGUACCCAAAUACCUUAAGCAAAAACUUAAAACAUAUUAUUUCCAUCAGAAGUAAGAACUGUUUUUUUUUUUCCCCCCAAAGGCUUGGGAGGUCAAGUGAAGACUCCUAAAAGUAAACUUUCCUAUUUUAAAAUUUGCUGUAGAACAUUCUUGGUGUUAAUCAUAUUUUUAAAUUCUUCUAUCAUUAGAUAUUCAUUACCACUAGAAGUGGGUCACAGAGAGUUGGACUGUGAAGAAAGCUGAGAGCCAAAGAAUUGAUGCUUUUGAACUGUGGUGUUAGAGAAGACUCUUGAGAGUCCCUUGGACUGCAAGGAGAUCUAAUCAGUCCAUCCUAAAGGAGAUCAGUCCUGGGUGUUCAUUGGAAGGACUGAUGCUGAAGCUGAAAUUCCAAUACUUUAGCCACCUCCUGUGAAGAGUUGACUCAUUGGAAAAGACUCUGAUACUAGGAGGGAUUGGGGGCAGAAGGAAAAGGGGACGACAGAGGAUGAGAUGGCUGGAUGGCAUCACCGACUGGAUGGACAUGAGUUUGGGUGAACUCCGGGAGUUGGUGACGGACAGGGAGGCCUGGUAUGCUGUGAUUCAUGGGGUUGCAAAGAGUAUGACACGACUGAGUGACUGAACUGAAGUGAACUGAACCACUAGAAGUGGUCACAAUAGUAAAGAAACAAUAGGAUUGUAUGUUAUUAUGUAAAGGCAUUUUGGAGUGAGGUAUACUUGUACCCUAGUUAUAUAAAUAGCUAGACUAAAUUGACAAACCCAAGUCCUUGUCUUAUUUAAACAUUCAAGAAAAAAUAUGUAUUCAGCUAUAACCCUUGUCCCUAUUGUUUACUCUUAGACUGUUUUAAUAAGCUGUAUUCUCCUUUGAUUUCUAAAGUUUUGAGAAAAUAAUAGGAUAGCAGUAGUCUUCAUAAAACCCCUUUUGUAUGUUGGUGUGCAAGUGCCUGCUCAGUCAGUCAUGUCUGAUUCUUGCAACCCCAUGGACUAUAACCUGCCAGGAUCCUCUGUCCGUGGGAUUUCCCAGGCAAGAAAACUGGAGUGGGUUGCCAUGUCCUCUUCCUGGGGGUCUUCUCCACCUACAGAUCAAGCCUGUGUCUCCUGCUUUGGCAGGCUGAUUCUUACCACUGAGCCACCUGGGAGUCCCCUGUAAGUUGGUACCCUGUUCAAAACCUUCAGUGUCUUAGGGUGUCAUGACUUGUUCUGUCAUGUUACACUGCAGAUACUGCUCUAUGUUCAUUGUUUCCAAUUCCUUUGCAAA
RNAcentral lists this long non-coding RNA (2230 nucleotides) under Bos grunniens (domestic yak). RNAcentral describes it as "lncRNA (ENSBGRG00000011757.1)". Lineage: Eukaryota; Metazoa; Chordata; Mammalia; Artiodactyla; Bovidae. The record is from RNAcentral.